This 529-nucleotide ribosomal RNA is filed under the name uncultured bacterium. Its description in RNAcentral is "bacterial SSU rRNA". It matches the Rfam family "Bacterial small subunit ribosomal RNA", at positions 777 to 1301 of the family's 1533-position model. The record is from RNAcentral.
AAUAGAUACCCGGGUAGUCCACGCCGUAAACGAUGAGUGCUAAGUGUUAGAGGGUUUCCGCCCUUUAGUGCUGCAGCUAACGCAUUAAGCACUCCGCCUGGGGAGUACGGUCGCAAGACUGAAACUCAAAGGAAUUGACGGGGGCCCGCACAAGCGGUGGAGCAUGUGGUUUAAUUCGAAGCAACGCGAAGAACCUUACCAGGUCUUGACAUCCUCUGACAACUCUAGAGAUAGAGCGUUCCCCUUCGGGGGACAGAGUGACAGGUGGUGCAUGGUUGUCGUCAGCUCGUGUCGUGAGAUGUUGGGUUAAGUCCCGCAACGAGCGCAACCCUUGAUCUUAGUUGCCAGCAUUCAGUUGGGCACUCUAAGGUGACUGCCGGUGACAAACCGGAGGAAGGUGGGGAUGACGUCAAAUCAUCAUGCCCCUUAUGACCUGGGCUACACACGUGCUACAAUGGAUGGUACAAAGGGCUGCAAGACCGCGAGGUCAAGCCAAUCCCAUAAAACCGAUUACUCGAGUUCGGAUUGU